CAGCCGCCGCGGUAAUACAGAGGAUGCAAGCGUUAUCCGGAAUGAUUGGGCGUAAAGCGUCUGUAGGUGGCUUUUCAAGUCCGCCAUCAAAUCCCAGGGCUCAACCCUGGACAGGCGGUGGAAAAUACCAAGCUGGAGUACGGUAGGGGCAGAGGGAAUUUCCGGUGGAGCGGUGAAAUGCGUUGAGAUUGGAAAGAACACCAACGGUGAAAGCACUCUGUUGGGCCGACACUGACUCUGAGAGACGAAAGCUAGGGGAGCAAAUGGGAUUAGAUACCCGGGUAGUCCCUGUCUCUUAUAA
Molecule: ribosomal RNA, 301 nt
Filed under: uncultured bacterium
Lineage: Bacteria
Description: partial 16S ribosomal RNA
Rfam family: Bacterial small subunit ribosomal RNA
Source: RNAcentral